GGGCUAGAACGCGGGAGCUCGGAGAUACCGGGCUGAGAGGGUGGCUGUCGAGCCACCGACCGCUUGAACCUGACCGGGUAAUGCCGGCGUAGGGAGAGUGAGUUUCGAUGUC
This 112-nucleotide non-coding RNA is filed under the name Mycobacterium sp. RNAcentral describes it as "TPP sequence". It matches the Rfam family "TPP riboswitch aptamer (THI element)". Rfam says of the family: Vitamin B(1) in its active form thiamin pyrophosphate (TPP) is an essential coenzyme that is synthesised by coupling of pyrimidine and thiazole moieties in bacteria. The record is from RNAcentral. Lineage: Bacteria; Bacillati; Actinomycetota; Actinomycetes; Mycobacteriales; Mycobacteriaceae. RNAcentral also lists the same sequence under 1 other name.